ACUGAGCAUGGUAGCAUAUACCUGUAGUCCUAGUACUUGGGGAGCCAAAGGUAGGAGGAUCCCUUGAGUCCAGGAGUUUGAGAACAACCUGGGCAACAUAGGGAAAUUCUGUCUCAA
This 117-nucleotide small RNA is filed under the name Marmota monax (woodchuck). The record is from RNAcentral. Lineage: Eukaryota; Metazoa; Chordata; Mammalia; Rodentia; Sciuridae.